UGCUCCACUACAAGAUGGACCUGCGUUGUAUUAGCUAGUAGGUGAGGUAACGGCUCACCUAGGCGACGAUACAUAGCCGACCUGAGAGGGUGAUCGGCCACACUGGGACUGAGACACGGCCCAGACUCCUACGGGAGGCAGCAGUAGGGAAUCUUCGGCAAUGGGGGCAACCCUGACCGAGCAACGCCGCGUGAGUGAAGAAGGUUUUCGGAUCGUAAAGCUCUGUUGUAAGUCAAGAACGAGUGUGAGAGUGGAAAGUUCACACUGUGACGGUAGCUUACCAGAAAGGGACGGCUAACUACGUGCCAGCAGCCGCGGUAAUACGUAGGUCCCGAGCGUUGUCCGGAUUUAUUGGGCGUAAAGCGAGCGCAGGCGGUUUGAUAAGUCUGAAGUUAAAGGCUGUGGCUCAACCAUAGUUCGCUUUGGAAACUGUCAAACUUGAGUGCAGAAGGGGAGAGUGGAAUUCCAUGUGUAGCGGUGAAAUGCGUAGAUAUAUGGAGGAACACCGGUGGCGAAAGCGGCUCUCUGGUCUGUAACUGACGCUGAGGCUCGAAAGCGUGGGGAGCGAACAGGAUUAGAUACCCUGGUAGUCCACGCCGUAAACGAUGAGUGCUAGGUGUUGGAUCCUUUCCGGGAUUCAGUGCCGUAGCUAAC
RNAcentral lists this ribosomal RNA (654 nucleotides) under Streptococcus sp. HMSC072D03. Its description in RNAcentral is "bacterial SSU rRNA". It matches the Rfam family "Bacterial small subunit ribosomal RNA", at positions 211 to 856 of the family's 1533-position model. The record is from RNAcentral. Lineage: Bacteria; Bacillati; Bacillota; Bacilli; Lactobacillales; Streptococcaceae.